This 207-nucleotide ribosomal RNA is filed under the name uncultured bacterium. Its description in RNAcentral is "partial 16S ribosomal RNA". It matches the Rfam family "Bacterial small subunit ribosomal RNA", at positions 568 to 774 of the family's 1533-position model. The record is from RNAcentral.
UGCGUAGGCGGUGGCGUAAGUCAGAAGUGAAAGUUGACGGCUUAACCGUAAAAUUGCUUUUGAUACUGCGUUACUUGAAUCAGGUUGAGGUCGGCGGAAUGUGGCAUGUAGCGGUGAAAUGCUUAGAUAUGCCAUAGAACACCAAUUGCGAAGGCAGCUGACUGGACCUGUAUUGACGCUGAGGCACGAAAGCGUGGGGAGCGAACA